This 465-nucleotide ribosomal RNA is filed under the name uncultured bacterium. Its description in RNAcentral is "partial 16S ribosomal RNA". It matches the Rfam family "Bacterial small subunit ribosomal RNA", at positions 339 to 795 of the family's 1533-position model. The record is from RNAcentral.
CUACGGGUCGCAGCAGUGGGGAAUAUUGCACAAUGGGCGCAAGCCUGAUGCAGCCAUGCCGCGUGUAUGAAGAAGGCCUUCGGGUUGUAAAGUACUUUCAGCGGGGAGGAAGGGAGUAAAGUUAAUACCUUUGCUCAUUGACGUUACCCGCAGAAGAAGCACCGGCUAGACUCCGUGCCAGCAGCCGCGGUAAUACGGAGGGUGCAAGCGUUAAUCGGAAUUACUGGGCGUAAAGCGCACGCAGGCGGUUUGUUAAGUCAGAUGUGAAAUCCCCGGGCUCAACCCGGGAAUUGCAUCUGAUACUGGCAAGCUUGAGUCUCAUAGAGGGGGGUAGAAUUCCAGGUGUAGCGGUGAAAUGCGUAGAGAUCUGGAGGAAUACCGGUGGCGAAGGCGGCCCCCUGGACGAAGACUGACGCUCAGGUGCGAAAGCGUGGGGAGCAAACAGGAUUAGAUACCCGCGUAGUC